CCUUAGAAAGGGGAAAUCGAUGGAGUGAGUCAUGGUAGUUUGUGUACGUGCUGAAGUGUACAAAGUCGUGUGUUACGUCACGAAAUGGUUGUAAGUACCAAAUACAACGUCAAAUGUUCGAAAAUCAGUUUUCACAGCUUUUUUAAUGGAAGGAAUUUGUCUACACACUACGACUGGAACCAUCUGGGAAUGUGGCCGUGGACGCUAUGGAGAAAUUUUAAAGACAAGUGAUAUUUAAAUGUGGCUUUUUUUAAAUGUGUACCAUUUUUUUUUUAAGAUGGCAAACAUCCAGAGAUGACAACAACUGCUCGAAACAACCCCCCGAUUAAGAUGAUUGCAAACCGAUAGCAAAAAAGGCCAACAGUUGUACUUGUGAUUGCAAAGGUAUGCUUCACAGUACUGUAUGCGCUACAAACCACCCCAACCAAGAGGAUUGUUAACCGAUUGUGAAGAAGACCAACACUUACAGCUAGUGAUUGCAAAGGUAUGCUUCGCAGUACUGUAUGCGCUACAAACCACCCCAACCAAGAGGAUUGUUAACCGAUUGUGAAGAAGACCAACACUUAUAGCUAAUGGUAAAUAAAACCAAUCAAUUAAGAUCGAUUUAGAAAAGCAAGAGGCUUAGCAAAUCGAUAAUAACUGGUUCAGUUUCAUUUGUUGGAAGUUUGGCUUCUUUCAAAGUUCAUUUAACGCAAUGUGAUUAUUCAUUUGUUUAAAGACAAAAAAGGUAAAAAACAAAUGAAUUUUUAUAAAACAAGUGACUACCAGAAACAUUUUAAUAAACAGUUCAAUUAUUUCGCUGCUACAACAAAUUCAAGCAAUCCUACCUUUCGCAGAACAUGUCCAUUUGUCCAUGUUGUUCGAAGAGCUUAUUUUCACCAUAAAAGCCCUCUGCUAUCAUCCAAAAUUAUUAAAUUGAUUUAACCAAUGUAGUAGAACGAUUUAAUGAUAUUAAAGCUGGGGGCCCAAGCCAUCAUUAAUUUUUUGAUAUCUUAUAAAAACCAUUUUCUGUAAAAAUAUACGAAAACGUCUUAAUUCGCGUCAAAUUAUCGUAAAACAUCGAUUAUUUAACAAUUUCGGCCGAAUCAUACGAAGUAAUCGUAUUUUUUUUAUCAAAAAAAGCAGUACAGAAAUAACGCAUUGUUACAUUGAGGUGGUACUAUCAAAAUACCAAGAAAAAUAAUUAAUGGCCGCAAAAACUAAUACGCACAUCGUAUUCUGCUAUAUUUAAUUAUUAGAUUUCGACAAUUGCAUUAGUUCUAGCAGAAAUUUUUAAUCAAGAAAAUUUAAUUUCUUACCUAGAACAAGCAAGGGCUACUCAAUCCGUCCAUUGUUGAGUGAAAAAUGGCCGCUGCCAGCUACAGGCCGGAAACCGCGAACUACGUAUUUCUAAGCCGUCUUAGUUAUCUGUAUCGCUUCUUUUUAAGUAAAAAUUGAAGAACGCACAUUUUGUUUCAAAGUGAAUGUUUUACGCCUUACAUUCUUUGUUUUAUUUAUUUAUGCGAAACAGUCGAUUGUCCUCAAUAAAAAAUUAAACAAUAAAUAAAUUCAUUGAAUUAGUGGUAUCAUUUUGUAUGAAGUAAAGUAUUAAUAUUAAAUGUUUCUACAAGAACUGCAAAAAUUGUUUCAUUGGACUUACUGCAGUUUAUUAAUUUAUUAUGUUAAAUGAUUUUGGGUAAAUUUCAAUUAGAGCUACAACUAGAGGUCUAAGGCAAUGUUCAAUUAGGUUUCUGAAAGAAUUGUCGUUCAGAUGUUUCAAGGAAACUCGUUAACAAUAGAUUCAAAACAUUUUUUGUUUUUUCUUUAAAUGAUUUCUUUUGUUUUUUUAUCAUUAUUAUAGUGUAUCAUCAACUGUUUACGUAUAAGGUAUCUAUUAUUUUUUGUAAACUGCAUUAUAUACGAACGGCUGUUUUAAUAAAAAUAUAAAAUACAAGUGA
Molecule: long non-coding RNA, 1937 nt
Organism: Agrilus planipennis (emerald ash borer)
Lineage: Eukaryota; Metazoa; Arthropoda; Insecta; Coleoptera; Buprestidae
Exons: 5
Source: RefSeq, a predicted model, not a curated record